This 339-nucleotide long non-coding RNA is filed under the name Pongo abelii (Sumatran orangutan). RNAcentral describes it as "lincRNA". The record is from RNAcentral. Lineage: Eukaryota; Metazoa; Chordata; Mammalia; Primates; Hominidae.
UUUCUGUUUGGUUGCCGCCCUGACGGCCAGAACUAAAACACCUUGCAAGGAAUGAGGUUGGUUCUUGAAGUCCGUGCUGACUGGCUGGGCGCAUUUGCACAUUUGCUUCUCAGGCUGCGAAAUGGUCCGCAACAGCGCUCACUAGUUUGUUGCUAAGUUCAGCAACUGUGCGGACAGGUCUCUGAGGCUUCUGGGCGCCUCAGAACCUGUCACAGCCGACGGAAGCGUUUAUCUGAGUUUCUUGUUUCUUCCCAACCUUUUGAUUUUCGCACCAUUGCGCGCUCAACUAUGCCUCUUCUUUUGUGCUAUGGUCUCUACUAAUUAAAGGAAGAAAAGCAA